CAAAACCUGGCAAGGUUAUUCACAGUAAUCAUUGGAGAUAACUGCUUGGACCAUGAAUAUCACCUGCUCCUCUGAUGGGGGAUAUUUACCAGGGGGGAGAGAUCCUGCACUUUUACAAGUCAGACUGGCUCAUCAUGGUGGUAAACAGCAAGCAGGGACGUCACUGUCAGAGGUGACAUCAUGUUUUUGUCCACUGAAUUUCAGUUUCUUUUCUUGAUAUAUUGUACUGUGUUACAUUUCUUGUAAUUUUAACUGUGACUGAAAAAAUGAGAUUGAGGAGAUAAACAGAAAGGAGCUGCCUCAUCAUCAGGCAGGUAAAGGUGAGGAACUCCCUAAUUUGGAAGGGAUUUCCAAAUUAGAGCUCAUUCACACCCAACAGAGCCAGCUGAGGUGAUUGAACCAAAAAGCCUAGUAGGUGAAGUGUUUUGGGCACAUCAUAGGACGAGGAGGAGGUGAGGAGACCACAGAGCACAUCCAGGACAUGCUGGAGAGAUUACAUAUCUGAUUGUCUGUUCAUGUGUGUUACGUUUUAUUGGUGUUAGAAUAACAUAAAUAAUAUUUAUUCAACAUUACUGACAAACUAAUAAAAGGAUUAUGAACAACCUUUUAAGUAAUAAUAUCAAAAUUUAAUUCAUGUAUAUAGUUCAUGUAUGUUAAACAUGUCGAUAUACGUUUUUAGGUCUGUUACAUUGCACCAUGAUGUGAAUUUGAUUAAAAGUGGUUGUUUAAAAAAUUUGAUGAGUAGUGAAAUAAAAUACAGAAUAGCUGGAGAGUAACACAACAAUGUAGUUUGUUGCAGGAACUUGCGCAUGCGCAAUUUGUAAAACAGAGAGAGAGUUGAGUACUUUCCGAUGGCGGUGACAUCAUCUUCACCCACUGAUGUCACAUAGCCCGAGACUUUCACUAUUUAUUUCACUUGGAUUAAAUGUGCUAGCGCAUCACUUUUCCUGUCUUUUACUGUGGAUAAUUGAAUCUUCCGCAGGAAAUUCCCUUAAUUUAGAUGAAUUAUAGUUUGGUAAUAGAAACGUCUGUUGACCCACUCAUGGAAAUUCAAGUGACUUUUUGCGUGGCAGUUCUGCUCUUCAAGGUCCUUCACUGUGGUAAAUAUUUUCUAAUUUAAUAAUGUAGACUACUUAUCUGUAUCGAUCACGCUAUUCAUUAAAAUGCAUUUCAAAUUGGAAGUACAAAAACAACCAAAACAGGUUUUUUCAAGUCUGGGUUCCGAGCAUACUCAUUGUUCAUGUUGUUUGUUUGUUUGUUUCUAAAUGGGAUUUGAAGCGGGUCUUAUGCUCAUGUAGCGGGUUGGAUUGGUUCCUGCAUAGUGAACUAAUGACUGUAUUGCUCUGAACGCAGCAUGAACAUUCACCCCUCCCCUAGCUGUCUAAUCAGACUCCUGGUAUUUGGCACUCAUCCCUAUGAUAGAUGGCGACGAUCAUGACCUUAGCAUUGCAGAUCGGAUUCAUGCCCCCUGACCAAUGUUUGGCUGUGUAACUGUUAACGAGUGCUUCAGUGCACCGGAUGGUAAUAUUUUAAAGAGAGACGGCCGCUUGUGAGCGUAAACACCGGGAUGCGAGCACAUUUUAAAGCACAGUUUAAGUUGCGUUGCGAAUUGCAGUGUGACGUCACGGAUGGCCAACAAAGACAGGAGUGUUUGGAAAGAUGUGCCACUUCUGGCAGCGAUGCAGAGCUUCGAUUUCCCCAGGCUCUUAGAUGCAGUGACGUCGAUAACUGGAGAUUGGAGGGAAACUCUGUUGACGUCUACUUUUGUCGCUUUGGACAUGAGGGAUUCCCUUAUGAAUCUGGGAGAAAGAACAUUGAGUAUAAUGAAGCAGAUGGUUCAUUCACACUCUUCGGGUUGCAGCAGUUUGAUGAGGGACUGUAUGAAAUAUGGCAUGGCCAUUACAGGAGCAUGUGUGUUGAACUUGUUGUGAGACCAGAAGAAAACAGCUGCAAAGAAGCACUAGGUGGUCAAAAUGGUGACUGGACUGUACCUUCAGACUCAGCCGACAGUGGACCAGCAGAGCAGAAUGACAAUAUGGAAAUGAAUGAAAGUCCUACAGUAGCAGAAAGUGAUGGGAACAAUACUCAAGAUACUACUGACGCUCUGAUGGAAAAACACUGUGCAGAGUCAAAACCAUGCCUCGUAACUGAAAUCUCAUCUCCUCCUAGCUCCUCUGGUGCCAAACUAAUGUCCACAAAGUCUUAAGAAUUUUAAAAAAAUUAGUUUGUGGACAGAACAGUUUUAAUCAGGAUUCAAAUGAGGUUGUUGAAAUUAACUCCUUUAUUUUAAUUUUAGUUAACUACAUCAAAAUCAAGACUAAAACUGAUGUUUUAUCUCAGCAUUUUCAAACAAUAAAAAUAAAACAUAACUAAAUAAACUCACAAUGGAAAUUAAUUAAAUCUAAACUGAUUUGAAAACAAAAAUUAAAGCUAAACAAUCGAGAAGUGUUUGUUACUGCGAAUGCAAUCAAAGACUUGAAAGGUGAAAAGUGAAAGAUUCAGGUGCGUCUUUGACAUGGUCAUGAUGAAGUUCAAGCAUUGAGGAGGACAGCUGAUUUAUGUGAACUUGAAUGCGUUGUGGUUGUUGUGCCAGAAAGAGUGAUCUACUGGGAUUUUUCACCCACAUCCACAGGGUUUACAAAGAAAAAGAGAGGGGUAGUUCUCUGGGUGAAACUGUUGAUUUUAGAUGUCAAGCCUAACUUGAGCUGAUAAAGGAGUAAACAGUAACUCAAACAACCACUAAUUACAGCAUUUAGUACCAGCUGUAUCUCAUUUAAACAGCACAGCCUACCUGAGUAUUUUUACUGACCUUGUUCAUCCCAUCAUGACCAUAGUUUACCCAAUUUUUCAUUGCUGCUGCCAGUAGGGUAACACACCAUGUCACUAGGUUCAGAUCAUCUCAAACUUGUUUCUUGAAUAUCACAGUGCAUUCACUGUUUUCACAUGGCCUCCACAGUCAUCAGAUUGAAUGUCUUUCUGAUGUGCUUGAAUGGGUUUUAUAGGUCAACAAAUCUUCAGCAACUUUGUGAAUACCAAAAUCUCUGAGCAAUGUUCCCAGAACCUUGUUGAAUCUAAGCCACAAAGAAUUAAACAGCUCUGACGGCAGAAGUGCAUUCAAGUUGGUACCACCAAGCUGUACGUAAUAAACGUGGCUGGGGAGUGUUUAAGUCUAAAAACUCAGUGAAACUCUAAUUGGUGUUCUUGGUGGCUAUAACCUCAAUCUCAGAUUUGAUUUCUUUUAUCUAUCUUUUUUUUCCUACUUAACACUGAUAAGCUCUAUUUACCAAGCUGUGGCCAAAGGAUCAUAUAAAUUAGUUUAGCCAUAUAGCCACAGGUUUUAUCCAAGCUGAUUCAGGAGAUGAUUCAUGAAAGCCACAAGGUGGUGCUACAGGAAAGCUUCUAAAGCUUGCUGUGUUUCUGUUGUAUUACUGAACACUAAAGCUUUACAUGUUUGGGUGCUACCAAAUGUAACACUGUGAAUGCAACAUUUUAGUGUAUAUAUUGUUUUAUUUGGCUGUUUUGUUUCUCAUUUUGAAUAAUUAAUACCCAGUUGUAUUGAAGUCUAGAUUUGUUUAAACUGUAUGAAGUUAACUAAGCAUACAUACAGUGUUAUGCUUGCCUCUUCAAACGACAAACUCACGCAAUUUUGUUUUCUCACACGGAGUGCUGUUUAAACCAUCUGGCUGUUCCUGUAGCCUUAUGAUCCUUGCUUUCUAUAUGUUGGGUUUUUUGAUGACUAAUAUAAAAUCCUGUUAUGUAUGCUGUAUUGGUUAUCUUUCUGACAGUUGUCUGCUGUAUGCAUGUCUGUGAAUGCAUGUGUAUAUUUCAGUUACUUUCUACUCUUCCUUUCAGGCAGAGACAGAAAAUGUCCAUCAAACUGUAGCUCACCGUUAUAGCAAUCAAUUGAUUUAUCAAUUACGUGUAUUUUGUUUUAAAAAGCCUCCAAGGAUAUUUCAUUAUCAGGUAAACAUGCAAUGCACACUCCCAAAACAAAGAGCAAUCAUUUAAAAUUUAAGAAUUUUAUUUCAUAAAUGCCACUAUUGUAUAUCUACAUUUAAAUUAUUUUCCUGUUUCAUUGCAUUUACCAUGGCAAGCCUUUUAAAAACCACAAUUCAAAACUAAAACUGAUAACUGGAUGUUAGAAUGUAGUAAUUAGCUUAACAGGUGUGGGUAUUUGUUACUUCUAGACCCAGUUUAAUCCAUUUCUGUCUAAAGGCUGUGUGGAAAACUGCUUACUGUGUAUUUAGAACAUGUAGAAAAACAUAUUUAAUAGUUGCACCCAGGAUUCAGUUUGUUUACUAAAGUACAAUUGUAAUUUAAUAAAGUGCGAUUGUACCUUAUUGAGGGAAAAGAGUUAAUCUACUUGCUUCUUUCAAAUCUAGGGUGCACAGUAUAUCAACAACAUAAUGAAUCUGCAGUACCUGCUUCCAAUGGACUAGCAACAUAAAGAUGUUCAGAUCAACUUAUUUUAAUCUACAUUGAACCGUAAAUACACAAAUGUUUACAGUUACACACUUUAUAGCAGGAUAGUUUAAUUUAUUUUUUUAAUUUCAGUUUUCUUUGACCUUGAAGUAUUGCAUAUUGCAUGGUGUAUUGUCUUUUUUCAUGACCAGAGCAGAAACGACUGAAAUCUUUGUCUGCAAUUUGUGAAAUUUUAAGAUUUAUUAAUGGAAUGUGCUCUGUUCAGUGGGCAUUGUAUCUGAUAAAAUAAAAUGUUUUGUA
Long non-coding RNA from Oreochromis niloticus (Nile tilapia), 4722 nucleotides. RefSeq lists it as uncharacterized. The record is from RefSeq and is a predicted model, not a curated record. The transcript is spliced from 8 exons. NCBI's taxonomy places the organism in Eukaryota, Metazoa, Chordata, Actinopteri, Cichliformes, Cichlidae.